RNAcentral lists this unclassified non-coding RNA (29 nucleotides) under Dictyostelium discoideum. The record is from RNAcentral. Lineage: Eukaryota; Evosea; Eumycetozoa; Dictyosteliales; Dictyosteliaceae.
CUCAAAAAGACAAUGGACUCUGUAGGCAC